ACCGGGAACACAUUAUCGUCAACAAACAGCGUUGAAGCCUAUGCGGCUAAGGUACGGCGGGAACUGGAUGAAAAAAUCACUAAAGAACUGGAAGAGGCCACUGCUGAACUUGAAACUGGAUCUGCUGGAGCUUCUCCCAUGGUAUCUACUGAUGGAUCUUCCAGAAAUGUCCAUGUUGACCAGGAUCCCCUUGCCAGGGCAAUACAGGAGUACCGUGAUGUUCUAACCAAAAAUUAUAUGAUUUGAACAAAAUGCUAGGCAGAGGCUCGGGAAAUAAUUUUGUUUACAUAGCGCAUCUGUGGUUUCCCAUCCUUCAGACUGUUCAGAUGUGAAAACGUGUUUAUUUUUAUUGUCUGAAUAUAAAUUCUAAGUCUAUUAAAUGGAUGUCAAGCACGUUGCGCUUACCUGAUGGUUUAUUGAUGCACAGUUGUUUUAUUUUGCACUCACACGAAGAACCAUAUCUAUUUUUUCUGACUGGCAGAUGGACUACUCUUGACUCUUG
RNAcentral lists this long non-coding RNA (502 nucleotides) under Buteo japonicus. Its description in RNAcentral is "lncRNA (ENSBJAG00000005051.1)". Lineage: Eukaryota; Metazoa; Chordata; Aves; Accipitriformes; Accipitridae. The record is from RNAcentral.